This 331-nucleotide ribosomal RNA is filed under the name uncultured bacterium. RNAcentral describes it as "bacterial SSU rRNA". It matches the Rfam family "Bacterial small subunit ribosomal RNA", at positions 568 to 898 of the family's 1533-position model. The record is from RNAcentral.
CGCGUAGGCGGUGGACACAGUCAGACGUGAAAUUCCCGGGCUCAACCUGGGGGCUGCGUUUGAUACGUGUUCGCUGGAGUUCGGAAGAGGGUCGUGGAAUUCCCAGUGUAGAGGUGAAAUUCGUAGAUAUUGGGAAGAACACCGGUGGCGAAGGCGGCGACCUGGUCCGACACUGACGCUGAGGCGCGAAAGCGUGGGGAGCAAACAGGAUUAGAUACCCUGGUAGUCCACGCCGUAAACGAUGUGUGCUGGAUGUUGGGCGGUCUGACCGUUCAGUGUCGUAGCCAACGCGAUAAGCACACCGCCUGGGGAGUACGGCCGCAAGGUUGAA